Molecule: long non-coding RNA, 1431 nt
Filed under: Prunus dulcis (almond)
Lineage: Eukaryota; Viridiplantae; Streptophyta; Magnoliopsida; Rosales; Rosaceae
Description: sRNA ncRNA
Source: RNAcentral
CCAACUUGUAAAAGUUGGAUCUACUACUUUUAUACCAUUUUAGUGUUGCAGGAUUUUUCAAUGCAGACCCGUCUUAUUUUCCAAGGAGCCCUUCUGGGUCUCUGGUUGUGCUUGUUUGCUGUAAGCUUCUGCUACAGCAAUGCAGAGACUAUUGAGGAAGCUGGAGAACAAGCACUAGACAAAGCUUAUUAAGGUGAGAUAUAAUAUAUAUAUAUAUAUAUAUGUAUAGUUCUUCUUUCAUCGGACGUCCACACAUUAUUACCUUGUGGAUGCCAUUGUAAACACGGAGAAGAACAAAGAGGGGUAGUAGAAAAUACAUGGCAUACGCACGGUAAUAAUGUCUAGAGGGGAAGCUAUUAGUCUUAGUGUGAUCAAAUAGUUCUUUUAGGCUACUUGAUUACACUACAAAUUUUCUUUUAGAAGGAAGCUACUUAGGCUACUUGACAGCUCUAGCAAUGUAGCACAAUACAAUAACAAAAGUUACAAAACAGACCCCUUCAUUGCUCCUCAUUAUUUUGAAUUACUUACUGAAAUCUCUGGGUAUGUUAUUUUUUUGUUAAUUGUUUUUCUGAUAAGUAACAUUCUUCUGCAUCUCUUUGUGCACAUGUCCAAUUGAAGAGCUGCAAACACAGUCUGCAGAGCUCAAUGAAGAAGGGAAGUUUGUCUUUAAGAAACAUCCUUCACCUAAGAUUCCAAUUGUAAAGAAGCCAUUUCCACCAAAGCCCUUCUUCAAGAAGCCACUCGCUCCACCCUUCAAGAAGCCAAUCCCUCCUCCAGUUCCAAUCUUCAAGAAGCCACUCCCUCCACCUGUUCCAGUCUUCAAGAUUCCACCCUUCAAGAAGGCGGGUCAUCCGCCGGUACCAGUUGUGGAAGGAAAACCUUCUGUAAAGAAGCCAUUUUUUCAUCCCCUUUCAAAAUUCAAGAAGCCAUCUCUACCUCCCGUUCCAAUCUAUAAGAAGCCACUUCCUCCACCAAUUCCCGUAUACAAGAAACCAUUUCCCCAUCCUAUUUUCAAGAAGCCUCUUCCUCCACCCAUUCCAACAUUUCCUCCACAUCCUUUCCUUGGGAAACCACUCCCUCCUCUGGUUCCCUAAUGCUAGCCUAGUGUUCUUUCACCUAAGCCCAUAUUGUUAAGGGAUGAAAGCAUAGAAAUUAUGUAUUGGUAUAGAAUAAAUUCCUACAUGGAGAGAGAAAGAUACACAGAGAGAGAGAGAGAGAGAGAGAGAGAGAGAGAGAGAGAGAGAGAGAGAAGAAAGAUGACAAUGAAAGAAGAGACUGUUCUUGGAAGUUGGAACUUUACUAUCAACUUUUGCAUUGUAAUAUUUCUGCUUGUUCUUGCUGUUAUAUGGCUACUGUGUGAUAGUAAAUUUGCAUUUUAUCAGUUGAAGGAAAUAUUUUUCAUUAAUUCCAAAGAAUCAACCUCAAGCCCUC